AUGAACGCUGGCGGCGUGCCUAAUACAUGCACGUCGAGCGAACAGACGAGGAGCUUGCUCCUCUGACGUUAGCGGCGGACGGGUGAGUAACACGUGGAUAACCUACCUAUAAGACUGGGAUAACUUCGGGAAACCGGAACUAAUACCGGAUAAUAUAUUGAACCGCAUGGUUCAAUAGUGAAAGACGGUUUUGCUGUCACUUAUAGAUGGAUCCGCGCCGCAUUAGCUAGUUGGUAAGGUAACGGCUUACCAAGGCAACGAUGCGUAGCCGACCUGAGAGGGUGAUCGGCCACACUGGAACUGAGACACGGUCCAGACUCCUACGGGAGGCAGCAGUAGGGAAUCUUCCGCAAUGGGCGAAAGCCUGACGGAGCAACGCCGCGUGAGUGAUGAAGGUCUUCGGAUCGUAAAACUCUGUUAUUAGGGAAGAACAAAUGUGUAAGUAACUAUGCACGUCUUGACGGUACCUAAUCAGAAAGCCACGGCUAACUACGUG
RNAcentral lists this ribosomal RNA (496 nucleotides) under uncultured bacterium. RNAcentral's name for it is "partial 16S ribosomal RNA". It matches the Rfam family "Bacterial small subunit ribosomal RNA", at positions 29 to 507 of the family's 1533-position model. The record is from RNAcentral.